GACGAACGCUGGCGGCGUGCUUAACACAUGCAAGUCGAACGGAAAGGCCCGGCUUUUGUGGGGUGCUCGAGUGGCGAACGGGUGAGUAACACGUGAGUAACCUGCACUUGACUUUGGGGUAACUUCAGGAAACUGGGGCUCAUACCGGAUAGGAUCUCCUGCUGCGUGGUGGGGGUUGGAAAGUUUCGGCGGUUGGGGAUGGACUCGCGGCUUAUGAGCUUGUUGGGGGGGUAGUGGCAGACCAAGGCUUUGAGGGGUAGCCGGCCUGAGAGGGGGACCGGACACAAUGCGCCUGAGAGACGGCACAGACGGGAAUGGUACGCAAUGGUGGAGAAUCUGACACAAUGGGGGGGCGUCAGAUGUGGCACUGCCGCGUUCGGGAAGACCGGUUUCGGGUUGUGAACCGAUGUCGCCUUAGACGAAGCGUUAGUGACGGUACCGGGUAAAGAAGCACCGGCUAACUACGUG
This 468-nucleotide ribosomal RNA is filed under the name uncultured bacterium. RNAcentral describes it as "partial 16S ribosomal RNA". It matches the Rfam family "Bacterial small subunit ribosomal RNA", at positions 28 to 507 of the family's 1533-position model. The record is from RNAcentral.